CAGCGCCACAAGUGGGAGUCGCCUUUAUUGGGCCUAAAGCGUUCGUAGCCGGUUUAGUAAAUCUUUUGUGAAAUUGUCAAGCUUAACUUGACAGCGAGCAGGGGACACUGCUAAACUAGAGACCGGGAGGAGUUGGAGGUAUGUUUGGGGGAGCGGUAAAAUGCUAUAAUCCCUUAUAGACCACCUGUGGCGAAGGCGUCCAACUAGAACGGAUCUGACGGUGAGGAACGAAAGCCAGGGGAGCGAACCGGAUUAGAUACCCGAGUAGUCC
This 271-nucleotide ribosomal RNA is filed under the name uncultured archaeon. RNAcentral describes it as "partial 16S ribosomal RNA". It matches the Rfam family "Archaeal small subunit ribosomal RNA", at positions 477 to 747 of the family's 1478-position model. The record is from RNAcentral.